AGGUGUGGGAUGUUGUGCAGUGUU
RNAcentral lists this microRNA (24 nucleotides) under Danio rerio (zebrafish). RNAcentral describes it as "dre-miR-92b-5p". Its record names the gene dre-miR-92b-5p. The record is from miRBase by way of RNAcentral. Lineage: Eukaryota; Metazoa; Chordata; Actinopteri; Cypriniformes; Danionidae.